GAUGAACGCUGGCGGCGUGCCUAAUACAUGCAAGUCGAGCGAACAGACGAGGAGCUUGCUCCUUUGACGUUAGCGGCGGACGGGUGAGUAACACGUGGAUAACCUACCUAUAAGACUGGGAUAACUUCGGGAAACCGGAGCUAAUACCGGAUAACAUGUUGAACCGCAUGGUUCAACAGUGAAAGACGGUCUUGCUGUCACUUAUAGAUGGAUCCGCGCCGCAUUAGCUAGUUGGUAAGGUAACGGCUUACCAAGGCAACGAUGCGUAGCCGACCUGAGAGGGUGAUCGGCCACACUGGAACUGAGACACGGUCCAGACUCCUACGGGAGGCAGCAGUAGGGAAUCUUCCGCAAUGGGCGAAAGCCUGACGGAGCAACGCCGCGUGAGUGAAGAGGGUCUUCGGAUCGUAAAACUCUGUUAUUAGGGAAGAACAAAUGUGUAAGUAACUAUGCACGUCUUGACGGUACCUAAUCAGAAAGCCACGGCUAACUACGUG
Molecule: ribosomal RNA, 497 nt
Filed under: uncultured bacterium
Lineage: Bacteria
Description: partial 16S ribosomal RNA
Rfam family: Bacterial small subunit ribosomal RNA
Source: RNAcentral